GCUAUCAUCCACUACACUAUAAUGCUCUACACUAACCAACUGUAGGAAAUGUCAAAUCUGACCAAAUCCAAAUCGGGACUGUAAGCAUACCCGUCCCCGGGACUGUGAAUACACCCGUCCCUGCCCCGCUGCGACUAUCGGCUCUAUCCACACUAACUGGUCCGUGGAGAGCAAGUCCAACUGGCAUGAGCGACACCAACGCAAAAGCACAAGCCUGACUCCGGAGUGGCACUCGUAGGCGCUACCCAACCGAGUAUGCAGCGUAUCUCUGUCGAGCUCAAUCAGGCUCCAACUAGCCAAAGUCAAGAAAUCGACUCAAACUGGUCUAACAACCAACAGGUAACGUGCUCUCGGCACAAUCUGACGCCAAAAAGGCGAUACGGGUCCACCGUCAACUCUGACAGCACCCAACAGUCCGAAACGACCUGAACGACCCUGUAAAAAUUCACUCGGCGAACCAGCACGAGUGUAAAUACAUUCUAAACUACCUGGAGUACUCGUCUCGAAGAAACUGCGACAGUACAAUUUUCUAACGGCUCCUAGAGCUAAAUUAGGUAGUUAAAACUAGUGACAGGUCCAAAUCGCAGGUUUUCUCCUAAUUCAAUUUCCAAGUCCAACAUGUAUAGUCUAUUUACUUGAUAAAAUAUGCUCGAAAAUUCAGAUUUUACAUUCUAAAAAUAAUCCAUGAAUUUGAGCUAACAACUAUUGUAGAAAUCACGAUUUACACAUGUCGACUAAUAACACUUAGGAGUAAAACCGAUGUAACCCACCUAAAAUGCUAAUCCCUGGCAGCGAAGGACUCCCCCCUGGUGUAGAGCAACCUGCUGGAUCACCCGGAACCCGCCGAGUACAGAAAUCGCCUAAGCUCGAGCUCUACGCAACAAAAAUCACCAAUUCAGUCCAGAAAUCACAGCAGUGAGGUACAACAGGGAUUCGACCAAGAUAACCUUCACCAAAUCCAGCAAGUAAGGACUUCGUGGAUUCCUCUCGCAGUCCUGAAUCCAACGAACAAAGCCUCGUCGCGAUCCGACGUUCCUACGCGGAGAACGAGCUGAAAUAUGAACAGUCGACGGCGGAUUUCAGCAAAACAGCUACUAACCGAGUAGAAAUAGUAACACUUGCCCAAAAUCCAGAAAAAACGCCGAAUCACCCACCUCGACAGCGUCGAACCUCGGCGCGACGUCAAGAACAGUGAAGACGCUCCCUCGCCCGGCCUCCUCGCAAAGCUCCGGCAGCAAGCGCGCUCGAACGGCUCGCGGCGCGACGUCGGCGACGAAAUCCCCAACCGGACUCUCCACCACACCUAGAGAGAGAGAGGAGAAGAAGAAGAUGGAGAAGAACAGGAAGU
Molecule: long non-coding RNA, 1348 nt
Filed under: Ananas comosus (pineapple)
Lineage: Eukaryota; Viridiplantae; Streptophyta; Magnoliopsida; Poales; Bromeliaceae
Description: long non-coding RNA (ACOM_LNC040003)
Source: RNAcentral